This 343-nucleotide unclassified non-coding RNA is filed under the name soil metagenome. RNAcentral describes it as "partial contains 5.8S ribosomal RNA, internal transcribed spacer 2, and large subunit ribosomal RNA". The stretch from base 1 to 120 matches the Rfam family "5.8S ribosomal RNA", at positions 35 to 154 of the family's 154-position model. The record is from RNAcentral.
GAUGAAGAACGCAGCGAAAUGCGAUACGUAAUGUGAAUUGCAGAAUUCAGUGAAUCAUCGAAUCUUUGAACGCACAUUGCGCCCGCCAGCAUUCUGGCGGGCAUGCCUGUUCGAGCGUCAUUUCAACCCUCGAGCCCCCCCGGGGGCCUCGGUGUUGGGGGACGGCACACCAGCCGCCCCCGAAAUGCAGUGGCGACCCCGCCGCAGCCUCCCCUGCGUAGUAGCACACACCUCGCACCGGAGCGCGGAGGCGGUCACGCCGUAAAACGCCCAACUUUCUUAGAGUUGACCUCGGAUCAGGUAGGAAUACCCGCUGAACUUAAGCAUAUCAAUAAGCGGAGGA